RNAcentral lists this ribosomal RNA (497 nucleotides) under uncultured bacterium. RNAcentral's name for it is "partial 16S ribosomal RNA". It matches the Rfam family "Bacterial small subunit ribosomal RNA", at positions 28 to 507 of the family's 1533-position model. The record is from RNAcentral.
GAUGAACGCUGGCGGCGUGCCUAAUACAUGCAAGUUGAGCGCUGAAGGUUGGUACUUGUACCAACUGGAUGAGCAGCGAACGGGUGAGUAACGCGUGGGGAAUCUGCCUUUGAGCGGGGGACAACAUUUGGAAACGAAUGCUAAUACCGCAUAAAAACUUUAAACACAAGUUUUAAGUUUGAAAGAUGCAAUUGCAUCACUCAAAGAUGAUCCCGCGUUGUAUUAGCUAGUUGGUGAGGUAAAGGCUCACCAAGGCGAUGAUACAUAGCCGACCUGAGAGGGUGAUCGGGCACAUUGGGACUGAGGCACCGCCCAAACCCCUUCGGGGGGGAGCGGGAGGGGAGCUUUGGCAAUGGGGGAAAGUCUUGCCGGGCCACGGCGGGGGGGUGGAGGAAGUUUUCGGAUCGGAAAACUCUGUUUGUAGGGAAGGACGUUAGUGAGAGUGGAAAGCUCAUGAAGUGACGGUACCUACCCAGAAAGGGACGGCUAACUACGUG